UAUGGCCACAUCAUGUUGAAACUCCAGUUCCCAUAUGAUCACUGAAGUUAAGCAACAUCAAGCUUAGUCAGUACCUAGAUGGGUAACCGCUUGAGAGUACCAGGUGCUGUAAG
This is a non-coding RNA of Acanthosepion pharaonis, 113 nucleotides long. Lineage: Eukaryota; Metazoa; Mollusca; Cephalopoda; Sepiida; Sepiidae. The record is from the annotation of a GenBank genome assembly.